RNAcentral lists this transfer RNA (67 nucleotides) under Notocochlis gualtieriana. RNAcentral's name for it is "tRNA-Met". Lineage: Eukaryota; Metazoa; Mollusca; Gastropoda; Littorinimorpha; Naticidae. The record is from RNAcentral.
UGUAAAAUAAGCUAAGCCUAAAGCUGUUGGGUUCAUACCCCAAAAAUGAACUAAAGUUCUUUUACAA